RNAcentral lists this unclassified non-coding RNA (770 nucleotides) under Hevea brasiliensis (rubber tree). Lineage: Eukaryota; Viridiplantae; Streptophyta; Magnoliopsida; Malpighiales; Euphorbiaceae. The record is from RNAcentral.
CAGGUUUCUGACAGUGUGGUUCCUGCAUUCAAGUCGGCAGCAGAGGAUCUGUUGAAUACCUCGGGUUUGUCAGCGGUAGAAUUACUUGCAAAAGCCCUUGCCAAGGCUGCUGGCUACACUGAGAUAAAGAGUAGAUCACUUCUAACAUCCAUGGAGAACCAUGUCACGUUGCUCCUUGAAGCUGGAAGACCCUUCUACACACCGUCAUUUGCUUUUGGCAUCCUGAGGAGAUUCUUACCUGAUGAUAAGAUUGAGUCAGUGAAGGGUAUGACGCUCACAGCUGAUGGGAAUGGUGCUGUAUUUGAUGUGCCUGCAGCAGAUCUGGACACAUUUCUUGCCGGUCAGGAAAAUGCAGCUAAUGUCCGCUUAGAGGUGUUGCAAGCAUUGCCUCCCUUGCAAGAAAGAGAUCAAUCAAGGGGAAGAUUUGGUGGUGGCGGUCGAGGUCGGGGUGACUUCAGUGAUAGAAAUGGUGGUGGUAGGUUCUCAGGGGGCAGAGGUGGCAGGGGCGGGGGAUUUUCUGAUAGAAGAAAUGGUAGGUUCUCUAAUGGCUUUGGCGGUGGGAAAGGUCGCAGCGGUGGGAAAAAAUGGUGAAGGACCUUGAUCAAUGGGAACAAAUUUCAAGGAGCCAAGGCCCUUAAUUUUGUCUCCACGGUUGAUAGUGAUUUAUAUAGCAUUGUUUUACAGCUACAGGAUGAAGCAUCUUUUGAUGAUGAAGAAAAUAUGCAUUUAUAGAGUCCGAAGGAUGUAAAGUCUGGAUUGGCUAACAUAGG